GACGAACGCUGGCGGCGUGCUUAACACAUGCAAGUCGAACGAAGUGGCGAACGGGUGAGUAACGCGUAAUCAACCUGCCCUUCAGAGGGGGACAACAGUUGGAAACGACUGCUAAUACCGCAUACUGAAGGAGGGGAUUGCGUCUGAUUUGGUAGGUGGAGGGGUAAAGGCCCACCAAGGCGAUGAUCAGUAGGCGGUCUGAGAGGAUGAACUGCUACAUUGGGACUGAGCAACGGCCCAGACUCCUACGGGAGGCAGCAGUGGGGAAGCUUUCGAAAUGGACGAAAGUCUGACGGAGCAACGCCGCGGGAGUGAGGACGGCCUUCGGGUUGUAAAGCUCUGUUAAUCGGGACGCGGUACCGGAAUAGAAAGCCACGGCUAACUACGUGCCAGCAGCCGCGGUAAUAC
This 408-nucleotide ribosomal RNA is filed under the name uncultured bacterium. RNAcentral describes it as "partial 16S ribosomal RNA". It matches the Rfam family "Bacterial small subunit ribosomal RNA", at positions 28 to 526 of the family's 1533-position model. The record is from RNAcentral.